Molecule: ribosomal RNA, 498 nt
Filed under: uncultured bacterium
Lineage: Bacteria
Description: partial 16S ribosomal RNA
Rfam family: Bacterial small subunit ribosomal RNA
Source: RNAcentral
GACGAACGCUGGCGGCGUGCCUAAUACAUGCAAGUCGAACGAGAGCGACCGGUGCUUGCACUGGUCAAUCUAGUGGCGAACGGGUGAGUAACACGUGGGUAACCUGCCCAUCAGAGGGGGAUAACAUCCGGAAACGGAUGCUAAAACCGCAUAGGUCUUCGAACCGCAUGGUUUGAAGAGGAAAAGAGGCGCAAGCUUCUGCUGAUGGAUGGACCCGCGGUGCAUUAGCUAGUUGGUGAGGUAACGGCUCACCAAGGCCGUGAUGCAUAGCCGACCUGAGAGAGUGAUCGGCCACAUUGGGACUGAGACACGGCCCAAACUCCUACGGGAGGCAGCAGUAGGGAAUCUUCCGCAAUGGACGCAAGUCUGACGGAGCAACGCCGCGUGAGUGAAGAAGGUUUUCGGAUCGUAAAACUCUGUUGUUAGAGAAGAACAAGUGCUAGAGUAACUGUUAGCGCCUUGACGGUAUCUAACCAGAAAGCCACGGCUAACUACGUG